GCUACACCCACUCUGCUGGCCAGGCUCAGUGCACUACUUCCUCUCCAUGCUCUGGACUCGCCCAGACGCCUCUGGCUGUACUCUCCAACCUACCUCCAAUAAAAACCUUCCUUUCAAUUGUCUUGCAGCGGUCUAGUCCUUAUUUUCUGUGAGGAGGCAGAGGGUCUUAUGGCUGGUAAGUCAUAGGCUGCUCAGGAUGGGAACCAGGCUGCCAGCCCACAGGCAGAGCACGUGAACUUCACCUGGUUCCACCCAUUUUCACUGUCCAGACCUGCAAGGCUCGAGGAGACAACACAGUGGGCAGAAUGUCAUGCAAGCCCAUUAGGAAGAUGGCGGGCGCCCAGAGAUUGUGAAGCAAUAAAAAGAACAAAACUUCCAAUUUAAAGUGGUGAAUAGGAAGAAAGCUGAGGGAAAUUCAAAAUAAUUUAUACCAGCUGGCUCUCAACAUCACCAACUGAAAGAGGAUGAAGUUGGGGAAAAGAAUUUGCAGGGCAUCGAGGACAGCAUGCCUUUCCUGCUCCCAGCAGCAACACAUGUGGAUGGCGCUGGAUCCCGUGGCAAGAUUUAGCUUAAUUGACAGCUAAAAAUUGUACUCCCAGUUUAAGACUAUUUGAUCCCUGAACACAUACCCUACCCAGAGACUGGGUGCCUUGCUGCAGGUUAACAGGUCCUAUCUCUAAAGUCUCUGGGUAAAAAGCAUGGAGGCGGGAUGCCUGGGGCUACUCAGAGAAAAAAAGGAAGGGGUCAUUUAGCGAAGUUACUAUCUGGUAGCCAAGUUACCUAGGGAUGAAAGAGACUGGGUCAGCUCAUGACACAUAGCUAUAAGUUCACAUGCCCUGCCCUAGGGUCAGGAAAGCUCCAAUCACACCCAAAGUGCAGCGACUUACUAACUGUGCGGCCAAGAAGGGCUACUUGUUUGCACGUGGACUGAGCGUAUGAAGUCAGUGUGACACCCUUCGGUAAAGCGGGUACCCAAUGACAGCCUCAUCACACAAACGGGGCUACAGUGAAUACUAUUAUCACUACUGUAAAAAUGUCAACACACAAGUAUGGGGACGGAUGGUAUGCCAUCAGUGCAGCGAGAGUGGGUUAGAACUAUCCUAUUCUGGUUAAAACCUGCUCAUCACUGAUUGCCUCCCAGAACUUGGCCUUCUCUGUGGAAGAACAUUCCAUCUGCUCACAGCUAGAAGAAUGGGACCCAUCAGGGACCCUGGCUUAAGACUGAUAGAAUCAAGAUGUUUGGUGAGCUGCUGAGCUGGUUUGCUAAGCUCUGUGGGCCACCACCCCGACCCUAUCAGCAGAUUCCAGAAUGGCUGACAGAAAAUUAAAAUCAGGCUCCCUAAAUUCAAUUCGAAGCACAAAGCAUUCAAGAACGUUUCUGAAAGAGAUUUCUUUGUCUAACUUGACAUGGGCAAGGAGGUGGUAUUAAAAAGAUCGUUAAUCAUUAAAACAACCUAAUACAUCAAUACAACUUAAAUUCUUCAAGUCCACAAGCAGUUAAAGAAGCUGUACAAACAGGAGCAGCGGGCUGCUGGAAAAGAAUGAGGAACAUUUGUUUGUUCCUCCUACAGAGGGUUUCUCUAUGUAGCCUGGACUGAUCUGGAACGUACCCUGUCAAUCAGGACUCUGGCUGGCUGAGUGCUGUUCUUCAAAGAAGAUGGAGGAGAAAACUUUGCAGAUGGGGUGUCAGUGUAUCUCUCUGGCUCAUCAGGUCACUAUGCUUUCGCCUCCACCCCCUGAGGGCUGUGAUUAAAGGUAUGCUCCACAAUGCUCCCCUGCACACUGUCAUUCUUAAGCAGCAAGCAAUGAUUGGAAUUCAAGCCCCAAGCAGCUUCCUCCUUCCUGGAUUUGCUUUGGAACUUCUGAUGUCAGAAUCAACAGACUGUACAGUGCCAUAAAGGAGGAAGUGGGAGGGUCCCCUGGAUCCAGGCCACUGUUGAAGUCAGUACAAAGAGGAAUCCCUCAGACGAGGACUGGCUUAUCAAAUCAUGUGAAAGUGGGGAAAUUCGAAAACUCCACCUGUACCCGUCCAGGCAAGACACUCUACAGGGGUUAUUUGUGCUUCCACUUUGGCUAUCGGUCUUUUGAAACAAAGGUCCCCAAGGAAUUGGAAUUUCCCCAGGAAUCUCAUGCUGGCAAGAGGAAAAGGCUGAAGCCUGGUGUCAGCCAAGAGGAGGGGCUUAUCUGACACCUGGGAGCAGUGACUGGAGCUGAGACAAUGCUAAGUCAAGGCUAGGAGCUGGGGUGGGAGAACGAGAGGCUGCCACACCCUGACCAGGACUGCUUGCGCCUGGGCCUCUAUUGAAAUGUAACCCUAUCAGAAGCCUGAAGAUGGAGUGAGCUGAGGUGCAGGAUCCUUGGUCCUGUUUUUGUUCCUCUUCCCAGUGUGACCCCAUUAAAUAACUCUCCUCUGGUGGGGUCUGAAUAAGACUGUUCUCUAAAGGCUCAGAUACCUGAACACUUUGUUCCCCAGUGCCAGGGAAGUGGUAGAUCAUUGGGAGGUGGUAUCUUACUAGAGGAAAAUGCCUGGGCAAGCUUUGAGCUGUAAACAAAUUGUUAAUGAGAAUUACUGAAAGAAGCCCUAUCUUCAAAGACUGACUGGCUGGAUGACCAAACUUCAGUGAGGGAGAGAGGCUGGAAGUCACACGUUCAGACCUAAUCACCUUAUCUUGGGCUAGUCUGAGCCCCCUAAAUAGCCAUUUCCUUGCCCACUUCUGUGUCUAACAUCCUGUGACUAAUAGAUAAAAAACCUUUUGGAAUCUAUUACCUCAGCAAACCAUUUGCUUCCUAACUCAAAAGUUAACAAUGUCACCAUACAGCAUCUGACGCCUAUCAGGACAGAGUUCCUCAUCUCACUGUGAUCUGCUAUCUGAUGUAUUUUUCAACAUAUUUCAAAAUUAUCCUGAUUUAUGACUUUCUUUGUUCUGUAACUACAAAACUCUACGAAGGAAGUGCUUCCGUGUGUAUGGAGGGUGGAGGAGUAACUCACAUGCUGUCCUCUGACUUCCACAUAUCUCCGUGGCACACAGACAUUCACACCCAAGCUCAAAUAAGUAGUUAAAAAUUUAUAAGCAACAACAACAACAACAACAAAACCCCAACUGGCUAGGAUAUGUAGCAUUUUACUAGAAGUAAUUUUGGGGUAGCCUGUGAUAAAAUUUUGGGUUUUUUUGUGGUCUUGAACAAAGAACUGAAUAAGACAAGACACAUAAUAAUAAUAAGACUUAGGAAAUCCAGUUCUCUUUGUAGGAAGAGAAUCUUAUGCCAUCCCACAGGGAUGCUUGAAGACCAUUUUAUUAGAGUCUGAGAAGAAAACCAUAGGGUAGGUGAACUAUCAAUCCUACCAGCUGCAAGAAGGGAGAUAACAAGAAACAAGGUCAUGUUUUCUGAGCUACAGUCAAAGAAGGUCUGCAAUAAAGGGGAAGAAGGGAAGGCUCAGAGAAGCCAGCAGGAAGGCCUGAGUGUCCGUCAAGACGCACGUGCUGAGGAUUUCAGCGUUCCAGUGUUUCUGUCUGCAAGCUACUUCUG
Molecule: long non-coding RNA, 3528 nt
Organism: Mus caroli (Ryukyu mouse)
Lineage: Eukaryota; Metazoa; Chordata; Mammalia; Rodentia; Muridae
Source: RefSeq, a predicted model, not a curated record